GGAUUCCGUUAGUAACGGCGAGUGAAGCGGGAAUAGCUCAAAUUUGAAAUCUGGCUCUUUCAGAGUCCGAGUUGUAAUUUGCAGAGGGCGCUUUGGCUUUGGCAGCGGUCCAAGUUCCUUGGAACAGGACGUCACAGAGGGUGAGAAUCCCGUACGUGGUCGCUAGCUAUUGCCGUGUAAAGCCCCUUCGACGAGUCGAGUUGUUUGGGAAUGCAGCUCUAAAUGGGAGGUAAAUUUCUUCUAAAGCUAAAUAUUGGCCAGAGACCGAUAGCGCACAAGUAGAGUGAUCGAAAGAUGAAAAGCACUUUGGAAAGAGAGUCAAACAGCACGUGAAAUUGUUGAAAGGGAAGCGCUUGCAGCCAGACUUGCUUGCAGUUGCUCAUCCGGGCUUUUGCCCGGUGCACUCUUCUGCAGGCAGGCCAGCAUCAGUUUGGGCGGUGGGAUAAAGGUCUCUGUCACGUACCUUCCUUCGGGUUGGCCAUAUAGGGGAGACGUCAUACCACCAGCCUGGACUGAGGUCCGCGCAUCUGCUAGGAUGCUGGCGUAAUGGCUGUAAGCGGCCCGUCUUGAAACACGGACCAAGGAGUCUAACAUCUAUGCGAGUGUUUGGGUGUCAAGCCCGAGCGCGUAAUGAAAGUGAACGGAGGUGGGAACCCGCAAGGGCGCACCAUCGACCGAUCCUGAAGUUUACGGAAGGAUUUGAGUAAGAGCAUGGCUGUUGGGACCCGAAAGAUGGUGAACUAUGCUUGAAUAGGGUGAAGCCAGAGGAAACUCUGGUGGAGGCUCGCAGCGGUUCUGACGUGCAAAUCGAUCGUCAAAUUUGGGCAUAGGGGCGAAAGACUAAUC
This 846-nucleotide ribosomal RNA is filed under the name Curvularia alcornii. RNAcentral's name for it is "eukaryotic LSU rRNA". It matches the Rfam family "Eukaryotic large subunit ribosomal RNA", at positions 72 to 936 of the family's 3401-position model. The record is from RNAcentral. Lineage: Eukaryota; Fungi; Ascomycota; Dothideomycetes; Pleosporales; Pleosporaceae.